Molecule: long non-coding RNA, 1723 nt
Organism: Cephus cinctus (wheat stem sawfly)
Lineage: Eukaryota; Metazoa; Arthropoda; Insecta; Hymenoptera; Cephidae
Exons: 3
Source: RefSeq, a predicted model, not a curated record
AGUGAAAAACAAAUAUAGAAAAGACAUACCAAAGAACUAGUGGACGAGCACAGGCGGAAGUCCUGGAAUGUUUAAAGUUUAUCCAUGUAAUUCGCCAUGAUAAUCCUCCAACGAUGGUUUUCAAAUAUGUAUCGUAAAACGCUUCCGAACGACCGUACAGCAGUAACGUACGACAGUCGCAACCUGUGGCGCCACCCGACGGCCGUCCCCCGUAACCCGCUUUAAUCCAGAACGUGCAUUAGUUUUCAGUUAAAUUAAUACACAGUGUGUACCGCGCGCGUUGUGUCCCGUAGUCCAGGAAAAUGUCCGUGGUACAAUGGCUGCUUGAGUUCUCAAUUAUCGUGGAGGUUAUUCGGCAGCCUUCGCAGCUUCGAAUUAUCGUUCACUCUACGCAUGGCGAAUAGACUGUAGAGUUCAGCCUGCGAGAGGUUCUACGAACUACGCUACAGUGUGUGCCGUAUACGCUACUACCUAGGGUAUACGCGUCUAUGGUAAAUCCGGUAGCCCCGUUGGAUCCGGAAUCUCGAGUCCAGGCUCGUUUCAAGGCGUUAAACGAUUAACCGUGCCGGGAUAAUACGAUUAAGCAUUAAAUUAAAUGUAGCGUAGUUCUAGGCUGGAUUAACCAGAACCGCGAGUGAACGAACCAACUAGUGAAUAUGUGUAUCGGACGGAGAUAUUCCAGUCGCUCGUUGAGCACAUUCUUAGACGGCAACUGGGGCGUCGGCCGUUUGCACCGAGGUACAGUGUGACGCAGUUCGAGGCGGCACGGAUCGCUGUGCUUCUGCGACUAGACGCGAACAAUCGACAAGGACCGUAAAGGACGGCGGAGCGCAAGCGACUGGCAGGCACUGACUGGCUGACUGACUGCUAGUCCUAGAGCGAAGUGACGCACGUCGCUGCUUCGGGACAAAGGAGGCAAAUUUCGCGACGGGCAGUCACAGUCCGUUUCCCCGUGAAUCGAAAUAUCUCUCCAACUGAAUUCUGAUAUCUCUGAUGCUUCGAAUAAGCUCGCUCUCUACGGCUGACAGAGGCUUCGCUAUGGAAGCACUCGUGUCCCUUUUCGUUGUGGCGAAGGAAAAGGCGAAGGACCGUCGAUGGUUUUUACAUGAAACAAGAGCUACACUCCCGAACCGCCGAGCUUCGAGCACUGACUCGUUGCAGCAUCCUGGCUGCGGGAAGGAUGGCCAGUGAACCUCGUGAAAGAUUCAGAAGAUUCGAACGACCGUGGGAGCAUCAAGGGGCCUCGGGAAUUAUUCAACCGUAACGUAGGAUGGAAGUAAAGUAAUGCGGGAAAUGCCCGGAAAACUAGAGGCGAUCCCGGCUAAUGGAGAAACGCGGUGCAAUUGCAGCGUGCAGCGCAAACUGCAACGGCCAUCCGACAAUGCACCGACCAUUUCAACCUUCUUAUCCAUAAGCGUGAAUUCAGUUCACUUUCCUAAACGCUGCCACUUUCACGAAUAAGUCAGUCGAAUUGUUCGCUCAAGCGCUCAUUGCUUUUUCUUCCUCGAAACUCGAUGAAACAAAAUUAUAAGACUCCAGCCUCCACUCGCCCUUCCGAGUCAGGAUUAAUUUCGAGUUUUCGCGUACGUAUAGAAGCACCACUGUAACUACCUGAAACUGUAACCACGUGGGGCGUUGCGAAACUUAGUUGCGGCAAUAUCGGGUGUGUGACUUUCUAUAGGGUGGACUUGAAGAACGAAACAAAAAAAAAUAUUCAAGUGCA